This 410-nucleotide unclassified non-coding RNA is filed under the name fungal sp. RNAcentral describes it as "partial internal transcribed spacer region". The stretch from base 1 to 46 matches the Rfam family "Eukaryotic small subunit ribosomal RNA", at positions 1786 to 1831 of the family's 1831-position model. Lineage: Eukaryota; Fungi. The record is from RNAcentral.
AAGUCGUAACAAGGUUUCCGUAGGUGAACCUGCGGAAGGAUCAUUAGAAAAUCAUGAACGUACCGUAUGUAUGUUAGUAUGUGCGGUACGUAUGAGAGCCGCAAGGCUCUCUGAAUAUUUUGUGAACUGUGUGGAUAGACAGAGGUGAUUUGUGUGCGUUGUAUGUGUGUAUAUUAUAGGGGGUUAAGAAGUGGAGAGGAUUAGACGCGAUACUGUCGUGGCUGAACCACACCGCUACACCAGCCCUAAUGUUACACACAUAGUACAAUGUCAUCAUACUAUCACCGAUUGUCUGUCUAUAUUUGAUAAUAUAUGUUAUGUAUUGAUGAAGUAUAUUAUUAAGGGAAGAGGAAACUCCAACCUUAAACAAUAAAUAUAUACAACUUUCAACAGUGGAUCUCUCGGCUCUU